This 763-nucleotide ribosomal RNA is filed under the name uncultured Streptococcus sp. RNAcentral describes it as "bacterial SSU rRNA". It matches the Rfam family "Bacterial small subunit ribosomal RNA", at positions 28 to 776 of the family's 1533-position model. The record is from RNAcentral. Lineage: Bacteria; Bacillati; Bacillota; Bacilli; Lactobacillales; Streptococcaceae.
GACGAACGCUGGCGGCGUGCCUAAUACAUGCAAGUAGAACGCUGAAGGAGGAGCUUGCUCUUCUGGAUGAGUUGCGAACGGGUGAGUAACGCGUAGGUAACCUGCCUGGUAGCGGGGGAUAACUAUUGGAAACGAUAGCUAAUACCGCAUAAUAGUAGAUGUUGCAUGACAUUUACUUAAAAGGUGCAAUUGCAUCACUACCAGAUGGACCUGCGUUGUAUUAGCUAGUUGGUGGGGUAACGGCUCACCAAGGCGACGAUACAUAGCCGACCUGAGAGGGUGAUCGGCCACACUGGGACUGAGACACGGCCCAGACUCCUACGGGAGGCAGCAGUAGGGAAUCUUCGGCAAUGGACGAAAGUCUGACCGAGCAACGCCGCGUGAGUGAAGAAGGUUUUCGGAUCGUAAAGCUCGGUUGUAAGAGAAGAACGAGUGUGAGAGUGGAAAGUUCACACUGUGACGGUAUCUUACCAGAAAGGGACGGCUAACUACGUGCCAGCAGCCGCGGUAAUACGUAGGUCCCGAGCGUUGUCCGGAUUUAUUGGGCGUAAAGCGAGCGCAGGCGGUUAGAUAAGUCUGAAGUUAAAGGCUGUGGCUUAACCAUAGUACGCUUUGGAAACUGUUUAACUUGAGUGCAAGAGGGGAGAGUGGAAUUCCAUGUGUAGCGGUGAAAUGCGUAGAUAUAUGGAGGAACACCGGUGGCGAAAGCGGCUCUCUGGCUUGUAACUGACGCUGAGGCUCGAAAGCGUGGGGAGCAAACAGG